GCCUUAGUAACGGCGAGUGAAGCGGCAACAGCUCAAAUUUGAAAUCUGGCCCCAGGCCCGAGUUGUAAUUUGCAGAGGAUGCUUUUGGCGCGGUGCCUUCCGAGUUCCCUGGAACGGGACGCCAUAGAGGGUGAGAGCCCCGUCUGGUUGGAUACCAAGCCUUUGUAAAGCUCCUUCGACGAGUCGAGUAGUUUGGGAAUGCUGCUCUAAAUGGGAGGUAUAUGUCUUCUAAAGCUAAAUACCGGCCAGAGACCGAUAGCGCACAAGUAGAGUGAUCGAAAGAUGAAAAGCACUUUGGAAAGAGAGUUAAACAGCACGUGAAAUUGUUAAAAGGGAAGCGUUUAUGACCAGACUUGGGCCGGUUAAUCAUCCAGCGUUCUCGCUGGUGCACUUUGCCGGUCCAGGCCAGCAUCAGUUCGCUGCGGGGGAUAAAGGCGUCGGGAAUGUGGCUCCUCCGGAGUGUUAUAGCCCUUCGCGCAAUACCCUGCGGUGGACUGAGGUUCGCGCAUCUGCAAGGAUGCUGGCGUAAUGGUCAUCAACGACCCGUCUUGAAACACGGACCAAGGAGUCGUCUUCGUAUGCGAGUGUUCGGGUGUAAAACCCCUACGCGUAAUGAAAGUGAACGCAGGUGAGAGCUUCGGCGCAUCAUCGACCGAUCCUGAUGUUCUCGGAUGGAUUUGAGUAAGAGCAUACGGGGCCGGACCCGAAAGAAGGUGAACUAUGCCUGUAUAGGGUGAAGCCAGAGGAACUCUGGUGGAGGCUCGCAGCGGUUCUGACGUGCAAAUCGAUCGUCAAAUAUGGGCAUGGGGGCGAAAGACUAAU
Molecule: ribosomal RNA, 822 nt
Filed under: Stachybotrys sp. NZ-2019c
Lineage: Eukaryota; Fungi; Ascomycota; Sordariomycetes; Hypocreales; Stachybotryaceae
Description: partial large subunit ribosomal RNA
Rfam family: Eukaryotic large subunit ribosomal RNA
Source: RNAcentral